GUAAGGACAAGAAAGAUGCCUUUUAAGCGGUGUAAGAAAUGUUAUUGGGAGGGAUUCGAAUAGGAAAAUAUGGCAUGAUGGUUAUCCCUUUUAAAAAGGGCUUUCAAUGAGACUUUAGGAAAAAGAAGACACAAAAGUGAAAAAUAAGUGUCAACAAAAGCUGCCAAUGAUGUAAACCUCUUAUCUGGAAAACACUUAAGGAAAAUCGUCAUCCGCCAAAGCAUUUACGAUCCUAG
This 236-nucleotide long non-coding RNA is filed under the name Vitis vinifera (wine grape). RNAcentral describes it as "long non-coding RNA (VVIN_LNC001407)". Lineage: Eukaryota; Viridiplantae; Streptophyta; Magnoliopsida; Vitales; Vitaceae. The record is from RNAcentral.